UAGUAUAAGGCUCAGUAGAGCCGGUAGCUUGCUGAAGAGUACAGGCAUCACAAAUGGCAAGCCUGACGGCAAACCAACAUCUAUCUGUCCCCACUCCUUUCUUCCCAUAACUCCCCAGUGUCAAAUAGGAUCCUGUGUCAGCAUUUAGAGAUUGGUUUCUGCAACUGGAAGUUGGUUGGCUCUUUGGUUAUGGUGUUUGGGGAAAACCUCUCUAUUUGGCAGGCUCUUAAAGGAAUUUCUUGACUGAUAAUUUUUUUCCCAAAUAAAUUCAAAAGCGCCAACUUCUAACUCCUACUUAGAAAUCAGCAUCUGGUUUGCCACUAGAUAGUAACAGAAGUGGGUAUUUUCCAGGAUAAAGCUAAGGUCACGAGCCCUGUCACAGGUCCCAGAAAUAUGGACGUCUGCUAGUCAACAGAGCCGACAAACAGCAUGCGCAGCUCCUGAAGCGAUGCAGGAUUGUAACCGGAAAACAGACAGAGCAAACCAUCAAUCUCUCUUCUGCUUCCGCAGCUCCCACACCCUCGGCAAACCAGCUCUUUCCUGGAUCUGCCUCCUAUUUCCCAGUUGCUCUUUGAGGAAUCCUAUGGUUCAUGGUCUCUAGACCCCAUCCCACGCCUGCACAGUUUCUGCCUUGUUGCUGUUGGAGAGACUGAGAUGUACUCUAGCAAGUUUAACCCAGAACACUGGCCAACGCCCUGGGCACUGACCUUCACAUCCACGAAAGAGAGACGUGCUGAGCCUUACUGUGCUCUCACAGCAUAUUCAGGGUGGAGUGAAAACCUCAGACAUCUUUCACACGAACCACCUCAGGAUCCCUAUCCUGUCCAAAUUGCAGGCUAGGCCAGAGGUUCAGACAGAAGGCUAUACCUACCGCUAAUCUGGCUGGAAUUAAGACCGGGAUUCCCAUCACCAAGGGAGACCAAGCAGCGAGGGGAGGGGGCACAGCUGGCUUCACACAGCAAAGAAGUACCGAUGAGCACCCAGUCUGCAGUACUGAGAGAAGAGGACAAAGAGAUCUCAGAGGCGGCAGGAGGGAGUGAAUGAAAACUAAGCCUGCUCCCCCUACACAUUCAAGGAAGGAGGAGACAUCACAGAGAGAUGAAAUGAAAACCAAUGACAUGGCAGCUAGACAAAAAUACUAGAGUGAAAAGAGGAAGGAAAGACGGAAGGUAGAAAGGAAGGAAGAAUGGAAACACACAGGAGGCAGAUGUCAGGAUGGACACAUAAAUGCAAAGAACACAGGGGGGAAAAGAAAAAGUGCAUUUCUGUGCAAAAUAUAUACUGUAACUGCUUAACUCUAGGGAAAACUCGAAUCUGAAAAAAAUGAGAAUAAGAAAUCAGGACAAGAUAAGAAAGAUCACACAUAAGGGACAAAAGUUCUAUUUAAGGAAAUAAAUUAAAGACCAAAAGUAGAAUGAAUCAGAGAUUGAAAAAACAGAACUAGUGUGUUAAAAAAAAUGAAGACAUAUAAUAUGCACAGUUUUACUUGAAUUAGUAAGGAGGACAAGAUAGAUUGUCUGAUCAUAAAGAAUGUAAAGAGGAAAAGAAAGAUUAAAGAAGGCAGGUCCUAAGUUGAGCCUUCUUGACCCUCUCACUGAAGAAAUAAUAUAUUUAAAGACAUACUAGAAGAAAUGUUGUCCUCAGUGGAGAGGAGAGAUGAACUGGGAGGUUGACUGUACACACGAUGCUUUUCUUAUCUUUUUCUUUUAAAGGCAUGUCUGUAAAGAAAUUGCACUGUUCUUAUUCCUAACAGGGGAAAAACACACAUGCAGGGAACAUGAAGGUUAAUGGACACAGGACACCAGAGGGCCUUGAGAUUCUCCAUAAUGCUGAAUGCAAUGGGAUGGUGUUUCACAGAAAGGUGUUAGCCAAGAAUUUUAUAGUUACACAGGCUAUUGCUAAAUAAGUUUUCAAAUAUGCUAGAACUCAGGACACAGAAUACUUCUGGUGCUUCCCAGGGAAACUACUAGAUAAUGAAGUCCAGCUAAACAAAACAUAAAUCAAAAUAAAAUGCUUAAGGAUGGUGAGCCACAAGGAGGGAACUCGCAGUGAGCGUGAAACCCUUUUAUGAGUUUGCACAGCUGGCCAAGUGUGAAAGCUGGUUACAAAGUAGAAUGGAAAUGUUACAACCUCAACGACACAGAGAAAAAAACAGCAUCUAGUCAGGCAGAGCGGGGAAGCUGGAAGAAAUCACCGGCAAAGAAAAUAUGUAAUGAGAUGUUCUGUUUUUUUCUGUUUUCUUGAUACUCCAGCCUUAUGGUCUUUGAUUUUGUAAAGACUGCCUCUCCGGGGAUAGCUCAUCUCAGGAGACAGGAGGAAAACUCUCCUUUGAGUACACCUUUGACAUCGAAACCAACCCAAUCAACCUAGAACACAUAUUUCUAAAUGUCUCCUUUUUCCAACUCUCACAUACCAAGGCAAUAUCAAGUAUCCAACAAUUUGACACCUGUCUCCUCUCCAGAGCCUGUUAAAAUUUUUCAAACCAUCUGACUCUAAGCUUACUCAGGAUACCUACUAUGCUCAGCUCACUCCUUGCCAUGAAAACCCCAGUAAAA
Long non-coding RNA from Rattus rattus (black rat), 2555 nucleotides. RefSeq lists it as uncharacterized. The record is from RefSeq and is a predicted model, not a curated record. NCBI's taxonomy places the organism in Eukaryota, Metazoa, Chordata, Mammalia, Rodentia, Muridae. The transcript has 3 exons.